Long non-coding RNA from Sciurus carolinensis (gray squirrel), 607 nucleotides. RefSeq lists it as uncharacterized. The record is from RefSeq and is a predicted model, not a curated record. Lineage: Eukaryota; Metazoa; Chordata; Mammalia; Rodentia; Sciuridae. The transcript has 3 exons.
UGAGGAGAUCUCGCCAGGCAGGAUUUCUUUCCCCAGGGAAAUAUCCUCCCUUUCGAUGUCCUGAAAGCACAAGUAAGAAGAAAUUUUAAAAUCUGAAACAUUUGCAUAUAACCCGCCCACAUAGGGUAUUAUGGGCUUAAGAAGAUUGACGACUGUCUGGUACCGCAGGAGGUCGGUAGAUGGCGUUGUGUCCCGAAAUAAAGAGCGGCGCUGGCGGCUCCCAGCCUUCCAGGUGAAGCAGCAGCAGCCGCCCGCCCGGUUUCGUCCUCUGCCACCAGAGUCUCUAAUGCCUCACCACCCGACGCCCGCACGCUGCAGCCCGGGGCCACAGACGCCCGCCUUUGCUAAAGCUAUUUCUACAUAUGGAAUUCUUCUCUCGAAAUCCAGUCAAAGGGUCAACACUUCGUCUCUGAUACAUUCCAAGAUUAACCUAGAGUUGGAGGAUUCUUUCCAUUAUUAUUGUUAUUGAUAUCAUAAUUGUCGUCAUGUCUUGUUCACUGAAUAAAUCGUGAUAGAGCCUAAAGGAACUCAUCAUAAGGAUGUGGGCAAAGGAGGUGUUAAUACUAAAUCUCAAUCUCUCUUCUUCCACCCUACUCCGUCUCUUCUU